This 1953-nucleotide long non-coding RNA is filed under the name Lytechinus variegatus (green sea urchin). RNAcentral describes it as "uncharacterized LOC121414269". Lineage: Eukaryota; Metazoa; Echinodermata; Echinoidea; Temnopleuroida; Toxopneustidae. The record is from RNAcentral.
UGAAAUUGAUAUAUGAAUUUUUAUAAUAAUGGGAACUAGAAAAGAUUAACAAAUUAUAAAUAAAUAAAAAAAACCAUUAAAGCAAGUAGUCCGGGGGAAAUUUCAUGAAAAAAACUGUUCAUUUAAGUUACUACCCAUGACAGGGACCAUUCUUGUGUGAAAUGAUGUCUAUGUGUAAAUGAGUUUGCACCUGAAUUAUGAUACAAUCAUGCGUUCAGUCACCCUCAACUAACAAGCAGUAUAUACACAACUUAAGCAAUACAUGAUGUAUGAAAAAUUACAAAGUGAUGGUAGGAUAAAACAAAUAUUUCAUUAAAAUACAUCUGCACUAUAUGAGAAGAUAGCAUGAAAGCCAUGGCUAAAGUAACAAAUAUUUGAAAUUGUAGACAAAUUGGCAGUGUUUAUAAAUCAAAGUUGGAAUGGUACAUUUUUUUAAAGAGGUUCAAUGUACAAGCUAAUCACAUUUGGUUGAUUACUUUUAAUGCAUUUCCAUUUCUAUGAAAGUCAGAAAGAGAAUUAAGUAUAUCUUUCACUUAAAAAAAUCAUUACUUUCUGACAAUUCGUCAACUUUUUCUCAAUACUCCGCUUUAAUGCAUAUUCUCAAACAAGUUAAGUUCUUCCAAGAUUUCUAUUCCUCUUUAAUGCAUAUAUUCAUUAAUUUCAAUGUUGGCGGUGUUUCGACACGAAUUGCCAUUGGCUCAGUGAAUUAGUUUAUCUACUCACAACAUUUUGUGAAAGAAUUUCUUGGAAGGUCCUGAAUAGCACAAGUAAAUUGAAAGAUUAAAAUACAUUUUCCAUUAUUAACAUUGGGUCACCCUCACGGCUUACUGAUGUCAUACGAUCAAUCACAUAUUUUGUUGCAAGCAAAAAAUAAAAAAUGAAAAUUGGCAUCAAUGAAUCACACAAUCACAUUACUGAGAACUGCAUAAAAUUGUACAAUGCUACACAGCUAUUAAACCAUAUUGAGAAAAUGAAAGAAGAAAAUAUACAUGUGAGGAAUAUAUGUAUAAUAUAUAUAUUUGUUGGACUAGAAUUUAGAAAACAAUCCAGGUAUAUAAACCUUUCCACAUCUAAUACAUGUAAAUAAAAAAAUGCAUAUGCAUUUUCCUUAUCCCCCCCCACCACCACCUCUCUCUCUCUCUCUCCCUCUAAUGGCAUUACUCUAUCUUUUUUUGCUUUAAAGAAUAUCUGAGAUUCCUCGAACCUAAACAGGAAGAAAAUUGAAGAAGCAUAUGAGCCAAUGUGUUUGGAGUUUAAAAAGAAAAUUAAAAAAAAUGAAAAUAACAUAAAUAAAAAGAGAUUUUGAUACAAGUGACAUUUCCAAGGUUAUAAUAAUAUGCUUCCUUGAUAAUUUUGGUUCACAUAUACAUUUACCACAAAAACAAUUGCUCUUCUUUAUUACAAAAAAAACAAAGAAGGGGAAAUAACAUAGCAAAGGCUGGACAAAAUGCCCAUACAUAUCUAUCAUCAGUUUGUAGCAACUGCCUGUACAUAGUUUGAUUAUUUUAUACAAAAGAACAGUAAUAUACUGUACCGCAUCCUGUACUUGACUUUACAAUUUCUUGUUUUGAUCUCAAAGUUUAUAACAACCAUUAUUAUUUUUUAAAAAACUACAGAUGACAAACCACGCACCUCUGAGAAAAUGCAUUACAAACAAGGAAUUAUUACACAACACACAGGAAAAGGGAUAUAAAGUGUAAGGGAAUUUACAAAGUAGUCAAAUCAAUUCAACAGUUUAGGGCAAUUCCAUAAAAUGAUCAACCUUUAUGUAUGUGCGACCCCCAUUUUUCUCAAGUCAGACUUCACUUCAUAAACUGACCAAGUCAUGGUCCUUUGAGAACAUUGCAGACUGCCAAUGGAACCAGAAAUCAGGGACAGAUAUACACUUAAUGGGUGGGACAUACAUAUUUUAUGGAAUUGCCCAAUAGACACUGUAUGGUGGAAACUGUGUUU